RNAcentral lists this non-coding RNA (102 nucleotides) under Bacillus solimangrovi. RNAcentral's name for it is "Guanine sequence". It matches the Rfam family "Purine riboswitch aptamer". Rfam says of the family: Riboswitches are metabolite binding domains within certain messenger RNAs that serve as precision sensors for their corresponding targets. Allosteric rearrangement of mRNA structure is mediated by ligand binding, and this results in modulation of gene expression. The record is from Rfam by way of RNAcentral. Lineage: Bacteria; Bacillati; Bacillota; Bacilli; Caryophanales; Bacillaceae.
ACAGACAAAGUUAAUAAACCUCAUAUAAUAUUAGGGAUAUGGCCUAAAAGUUUCUACCUAGUUACCGCAAAUGACUGGACUAUGAGGGAGAGUGUGCUGAAU